GGAAAUCCAACACUAGUUACGAAAUCUGAUAAUCAAGAUUAGAAGGAAACUAACAUGAUCUAAUUCUCAAUUACAAAUCAUUCUUUGAGAAAUACACUAAUCAGAACUUCAAAGCUACAUGGUGAUUAUAAAACUGAAAGAAAAAGAGGUGAAGUUCAUAAACAACAUCACAUUUAUCUCAUUGUCAACUCAUACUUCAAGUUACACAUCAAGUGACACCCAUAAGGAUCAAAAUAUACCUGGGAAGAGAGAAGAAACAAAGAAGAAGUGAGAGUCAGUAACAGCAGUAGCAGAAUAUUAGCCUCAGAUUCACACGACCCAGUAUUGAAGUUAACCCAGAAACCAGUGAAACAUUACUUGAUUAUCAAACUUCACACCCAAAUUAAAACCAAAUUCAAUCCACCUCAAACACUCAAAUGAACCAAAGAUUGCUUCAGCAUGUUGAAAACUUUAAAAUCUAAGAAGGAGAAAUUCAUGAAACAGUAAACUGCAGCCGUUUUUUUAUAUAUAUAUAUUUUUAGAUUCUCCCCCCCCCCCCCUCCCUAGAAUGAUCAAAAGGUCUUUAUAUAGGCCAACUUUAGGGCAGCAUUGUCAGGCCUUUCUCUUUUUUGUUUUCCCUUUUUACCCCUUGUUUUUCUUACUAUUUUACCAUUUUAUCCCUUAAAAAUAUCUAAACUCUCUCUUAUCUCUUCACAUGUGAACCUGCCCUUAUCCUCUAGACGCUUCCUCCAUAACAGAAAAUAUUCUCAAUCCUCAGAUAACCAAAACACCCCUUGAUACCCUUGUAUUUACCUUCCCACAAUUCCAAAAUUUGGGCCAACGGACAAGGCUUAAGCCCAAACAGAUAUGGCUUCUACUGUCCAAACAAGUAACCCACAGAAACCAUACAACCCAAGAAAGAAAAGAAAAUCAUAUAAUGCUGAAAGUUUAAGCCUGAGUGAACUAAUUAAGAUUACUGACUUAUCGACUAACAAGGACAAGAAAUUAAGCGGAAUUAACAGAAGAAGUAAAUAAAAACUAAGCGAGACAGUGAUGAUUCUAGAGCAAAUUAACGCAAACUAAAAACUAUGGACUCGAUUCAUGAAGGAAACAAUGGUGAAAAUUUACCUUAUUUAACUCAGAAAAGGUAAUGAGAAAGCCUUGAAACGAACCGAUGGAUUAUGGCUAGAAUCCGGCGGGCCUGUCCGAAUCCGACGUUCUCGUAAUAACUAAAAACUAUCGUCAAUCGAUUUCUCUCGUUGAGAACAAUCUAUUAACGCAAGAUUUAAGUUAGAACGAGUCAAGAUUUUGAACAAAAAUCAAAGAAGGCAAAGGAAAUUAGGUAUUGCAUUUUUCGUUUCCAGAUCCGAAACUGGGUAAACUUGUCUGGGUUUUAGGGAAAGAUGCUGAUGGAUUUGGAUGUAGGAAGGGGUGAUGAUUUCAUGGUGGUAAUUUGGGGGUGAUUGGGUCAUGCCGCCGGCCAGUGGGGAUUAGAGAAUUCUGGGGUGGCGGAGUCUCAUUAGGGCUUCGCUCUGAGAAACAGG
This 1523-nucleotide long non-coding RNA is filed under the name Nicotiana tabacum (common tobacco). Its description in RNAcentral is "long non-coding RNA (NTAB_LNC002910)". The record is from RNAcentral. Lineage: Eukaryota; Viridiplantae; Streptophyta; Magnoliopsida; Solanales; Solanaceae.